RNAcentral lists this ribosomal RNA (468 nucleotides) under uncultured bacterium. RNAcentral describes it as "partial 16S ribosomal RNA". It matches the Rfam family "Bacterial small subunit ribosomal RNA", at positions 28 to 507 of the family's 1533-position model. The record is from RNAcentral.
GACGAACGCUGGCGGCGUGCUUAACACAUGCAAGUCGAACGGAAAGGCCCUGCUUUUGUGGGGUGCUCGAGUGGCGAACGGGUGAGUAACACGUGAGUAACCUGCCCUUGACUUUGGGAUAACUUCAGGAAACUGGGGCUAAUACCGGAUAGGAGCUCCUGCUGCAUGGUGGGGGUUGGAAAGUUUCGGCGGUUGGGGAUGGACUCGCGGCUUAUCAGCUUGUUGGUGGGGUAGUGGCUUACCAAGGCUUUGACGGGUAGCCGGCCUGAGAGGGUGACCGGCCACAUUGGGACUGGGAUACGGCCCAGACUCCUACGGGAGGCAGCAGUGGGGGAUAUUGCACAAUGGGCGGAAGCCUGAUGCAGCAACGCCGCGUGCGGGAUGACGGCCUUCGGGUUGUAAACCGCUUUCGCCUGUGACGAAGCGUGAGUGACGGUAAUGGGUAAAGAAGCACCGGCUAACUACGUG